GAUGAACGCUGGCGGCGUGCUUAACACAUGCAAGUCGAACGUGAGAAUAGCAAUAUUUGAAAGUGGCAAACGGGUGAGUAACACGUGGGAACCUGCCUCGAAGUGGGGGAUAACGAUUGGAAACGGUCGCUAAUACCGCACGGUUCUGCUCUGAUGGGAAUGGAGCAGAUAAAGAUUUAUCGCUUUGAGAGGGGCCCGCGGCCGAUUAGCUAGUUGGUAAGGUAAAGGCUUACCAAGGCGAUUAUCGGUAGCUGGUCUGAGAGGACGAUCAGCCACACGGGAACUGAGACACGGUCCCGACUCCUACGGGGGGCAGCAGUGAGGAAUAUUGGACAAUGGGCGAAAGCCUGACCCAGCAACGCCGCGUGGAGGAUGAAGGCUUUAGGGUUGUAAACUCCUUUUGUGGGGAAAAGAAUGGAUGGUACCCCAAGAAUAAGUCACGGCUAACUACGUG
This 454-nucleotide ribosomal RNA is filed under the name uncultured bacterium. RNAcentral's name for it is "bacterial SSU rRNA". It matches the Rfam family "Bacterial small subunit ribosomal RNA", at positions 28 to 507 of the family's 1533-position model. The record is from RNAcentral.